GAUGAACGCUGGCGGCGUGCCUAAUACAUGCAAGUCGAGCGAACAGGCGAGGAGCUUGCUCCUCUGACGUUAGCGGCGGACGGGUGAGUAACACGUGGAUAACCUACCUAUAAGACUGGGAUAACUUCGGGAAACCGGAGCUAAUACCGGAUAAUAUAUUGAACCGCAUGGUUCAAUAGUGAAAGACGGUUUUGCUGUCACUUAUAGAUGGAUCCGCGCCGCAUUAGCUAGUUGGUAAGGUAACAGCUUACCAAGGCAACGAUGCGUAGCCGACAUGAGAGGGUGAGCGGCCACACUGGAACUGAGACACGGUCCAGACUCCUACGGGAGGCAGCAGUAGGGAAUCUUCCGCAAUGGGCGAAAGCCUGACGGAGCAACGCCGCGUGAGUGAUGAAGGUCUUCGGAUCGUAAAACUCUGUUAUUAGGGAAGAACAAAUGUGUAAGUAACUAUGCACGUCUUGACGGUACCUAAUCAGAAAGCCACGGCUAACUACGUG
This 497-nucleotide ribosomal RNA is filed under the name uncultured bacterium. Its description in RNAcentral is "partial 16S ribosomal RNA". It matches the Rfam family "Bacterial small subunit ribosomal RNA", at positions 28 to 507 of the family's 1533-position model. The record is from RNAcentral.